GAUGAACGCUGGCGGCGUGCCUAAUACAUGCAAGUCGAGCGAACAGACGAGGAGCUUGCUCGUCUGACGUUAGCGGCGGACGGGUGAGUAACAAGUGGAUAACCUACCUAUAAGACUGGGAUAACUUCGGGAAACCGGAGCUAAUACCAGAUAAUAUAUUGAACCGCAAGGUUCAAUAGUGAAAGACGGUUUUGCUGUAACUUAUAGAAGGAUCCGCGCCGCAUUAGCUAGUUGGUAAGGUAACGGCUUACCAAGGCAACGAUGCGUAGCCGACCUGAGAGGGUGAUCGGCCACACUGGAACUGAGACACGGUCCAGACUCCUACGGGAGGCAGCAGUAGGGAAUCUUCCGCAAUGGGCGAAAGCCUGACGGAGCAACGCCGCGUGAGUGAAGAAGGUCUUCGGAUCGUAAAACUCUGUUAUUAGGGAAGAACAAAUGUGUAAGUAACUAUGCACGUCUUGACGGUACCUAAUCAGAAAGCCACGGCUAACUACGUG
This 497-nucleotide ribosomal RNA is filed under the name uncultured bacterium. RNAcentral's name for it is "partial 16S ribosomal RNA". It matches the Rfam family "Bacterial small subunit ribosomal RNA", at positions 28 to 507 of the family's 1533-position model. The record is from RNAcentral.